Molecule: ribosomal RNA, 369 nt
Filed under: Spirogyra submaxima
Lineage: Eukaryota; Viridiplantae; Streptophyta; Zygnematophyceae; Spirogyrales; Spirogyraceae
Also listed under: 3 other names
Description: LSU rRNA
Rfam family: Bacterial large subunit ribosomal RNA
Source: RNAcentral
GCUUUACUGUUCCCUGAAAUUGGGUCUAGGCUUCUCUUGCGCAGCUUAGGUGGGAGGCAAAGACGAAAUCCUCAUGGGGGUUUAAGAGCCAACAAUGAGAUACCACCCUAGAGAAGAUAGGAUUCUAACCCUAUAACUUUUAGAAGUUUAGGGAACAUUUUCAGGUAGACAGUUUCUAUGGGGCGUAGGCCUCCUAAAAAGUAACGGAGGCGUGCAAAGGUUCCCUCGGGUUGGAUGGAAAUCAGCCUUCGAGUAUAAAGGCAUAAGGGAGCUUGACUGUAAGACUGACAUGUCGAACAGGGACGAAAGUCGGCCUUAGUGAUCCGACGGUUCCGCGUGGAAGGGCCGUCGCUCAACGGAUAAAAGUUA